Molecule: non-coding RNA, 45 nt
Filed under: Schistosoma margrebowiei
Lineage: Eukaryota; Metazoa; Platyhelminthes; Trematoda; Strigeidida; Schistosomatidae
Source: RNAcentral
AUCCAGCUGGCGGGUCUCAAACAGGACGAAACGCGCGUCCUGGAU